This 752-nucleotide long non-coding RNA is filed under the name Vulpes vulpes (red fox). Its description in RNAcentral is "lncRNA (ENSVVUG00000011578.1)". Lineage: Eukaryota; Metazoa; Chordata; Mammalia; Carnivora; Canidae. The record is from RNAcentral.
AAGAGGCUAAUGGGAAGUAACAUUCUUCCAAUGGGUGUCAUCAGUCAGUGAAUUCUAGGAGUUGGCAAGCAACAAUAAAAGUAGCUUAUGAAAGAGCAAGAAAUGAGUAGAAACACCCAAAAUUGGCCAGUAGAAUAUGCAAAUAUUCUCCACAGUUGCCUAUGAAAUUAAGAAAGGAGAAUGUGAAGGGAACAUGCAUAUCUGCAAUCCUGCAAGAGGAGUGAACUGGACUAACCACAGGCUGCUGUCUGUUUCAGUGCAUUCUGGUCCAUCUCUACUGCCGAUUAAUUGCCUAUGCUCAAAGACGGAGUUCAUGAGUUGUUGCAGGGGAAGAUGAUAGAGGGCCCUUUUUGGCAACACCUGGAGACCAGUCACACCUGGAGACCCUUUAGUGAAACUCAGGAAUGGAAAGGAGAAUAGAAAGCAUCCAAAGUAUUCUGGUGGACCACACAAUGAUGCUGCUCAAACCUGAUCAACCAGCUGCUAGUAAUGCUGCCAGCUUUGAGGAAUUGGCAGCCUGUCUACAACACCUGGAGAAAUGAUGGAUGUAUACCUAUUGGAGUGCUACACAGACCCCUAAAGAAGUUAAUUUGGAUUUGCACAUAUUUAGCUGGUUCCUAGUGGCAUAGUCCUCAGGAGUUUUCAACCUUAGCACUCUAAUAUUGCUUAAAAAAAAAAGACUAUCUUCCAAUCAAUCAGUUAUAACUGUUUAUAGAAAAUAAAGGGAACAUAGUGAAGUGAUUAGAAAAACA